Molecule: long non-coding RNA, 996 nt
Filed under: Elaeis guineensis (African oil palm)
Lineage: Eukaryota; Viridiplantae; Streptophyta; Magnoliopsida; Arecales; Arecaceae
Description: long non-coding RNA (EGUI_LNC036053)
Source: RNAcentral
GAAAGCUGAAGAGCAGAAGCCGAAGGAGCAGAAGCCAAAGGCAAGCGAGAACAAGCCUGUGAUGACGGAAUGACAGUAAUUUGAGCAAAUGAGCGUACUGCAUUGGAACACUCGAUUAAACAAGGACUGUAUUGCUUAUCUUGGUCUAUAUUGCCACACUGGAUUCUGAUGUGUGUACCUCAUUUAUCUGAACCAGCAUAACUACUUAAAUAUCGCACUUUGGAAGUUGUGCAUUUAGCAUGUUGUUGCAAGGUUGUCCCGCAUCUUCAUGGAAUGGUAGUUUUUCAUGUUCUGUAAGUAGUUUACACUCCUAUAUCUCUUUGACUGUGACCCAGCUAGGAAGUUUAUUGCAGAAAGAGAGAGGUGGAGGAAGCCAUCACAAAGUAUAACCAGAAAGAAUGCGACAAAGCUGCCACCAGUAAUCCAUGUCUUAGUUCAAAAACUUAGAAAUUUUUACUUUCAAUGUUUAUCUUGAUCAGAGAAAAUUAUACGAAAUCUGACCUGAUGACGUACUGCAAUCUCAUUUUUAUGGAGAACAAAAAUUAGCCAUACUGACUCAGAGGGAAGGGCCAACCAGAGUUAACGAUAAAUUUCUGGAAGAUGUAACGCCGUCUAAAAGUAUUUAAAGUUUGCAUCGUUCUGGGCCUAACUUUGCCCUUGUCUAUGCUGGGCUAUUUCCAUUCUGACAAGUUUGUAGCGGUAUAAUGUCCCUACGGUGGCGUUUGAUAUUGGGUAACCUAUCAAAGAUCAAAGGUGAUAUGGGUAAACGUGAUAAGGUUAUUGUAUUGAUUGCAUUAUGAUAAUCAUAAGUGGCAGUGAUUUCAAAUUAUUUAUACUUUUCAAAUCAUCGCAAUCUAUUUUUUUUUAUCGUGAUAUUUUUUCACACGUAUAUGCGAUAUUAUUUAUCCAUGCCAGGUGAGUAGUUGGGACAUCUUUUUCACAAUAAAAUCUUUCCUUCAUCGUAACAUAUCUUUUUUUUCGUUGCGACAUUUUUUU